This 465-nucleotide ribosomal RNA is filed under the name Vreelandella stevensii. Its description in RNAcentral is "partial 16S ribosomal RNA". It matches the Rfam family "Bacterial small subunit ribosomal RNA", at positions 338 to 795 of the family's 1533-position model. The record is from RNAcentral. Lineage: Bacteria; Pseudomonadati; Pseudomonadota; Gammaproteobacteria; Oceanospirillales; Halomonadaceae.
CCUACGGGGGGCUGCAGUGGGGAAUAUUGGACAAUGGGGGGAACCCUGAUCCAGCCAUGCCGCGUGUGUGAAGAAGGCCCUCGGGUUGUAAAGCACUUUCAGUGAGGAAGAACGCCUGGUGGUUAAUACCCAUCAGGAAAGACAUCACUCACAGAAGAAGCACCGGCUAACUCCGUGCCAGCAGCCGCGGUAAUACGGAGGGUGCGAGCGUUAAUCGGAAUUACUGGGCGUAAAGCGCGCGUAGGUGGCUUGAUAAGCCGGUUGUGAAAGCCCCGGGCUCAACCUGGGAACGGCAUCCGGAACUGUCAAGCUAGAGUGCAGGAGAGGAAGGUAGAAUUCCCGGUGUAGCGGUGAAAUGCGUAGAGAUCGGGAGGAAUACCAGUGGCGAAGGCGGCCUUCUGGACUGACACUGACGCUGAGGUGCGAAAGCGUGGGGAGCAAACAGGAUUAGAUACCCGAGUAGUC